GACGAACGCUGGCGGCGUGCUUAACACAUGCAAGUCGAACGGAAAGGCCCGGCUUUUGUGGGGUGCGCGAUUGGCGAACGGGGGAGUAACACGUGAGUAACCUGUCCUUGACUGUGGGAUAACUUCAGGAAACUUGGGCUAAUACCGGAUAGGAUCUCUUGCUGCAUGGUGGGGGUGGGUAAGAUUCGGCGGUUGGGGAUGGACUGGCGGCUUAUCAGCUUGAUGGUGGGGUAGUGUCUUACCAAGGCUUGGCGGGGUAGCCUGCCUGAGAGGGUGACCUGCUCCAUUACGCUUGCGCUACGGCACAGCCCCGAAUCCGACGCAACGGUGGAGAGUAUUACACAAUAGGCGGAAGGCAGACGUGACCCCGCCGCGUGCGGGAAGACGUGAUUGGGGUUGUGAACCGAUUUCGUCUGUGCCGAGGUGAGAGUGACGGUACCGGGUAAAGAAGCACCGGCUAACUACGUG
This 468-nucleotide ribosomal RNA is filed under the name uncultured bacterium. Its description in RNAcentral is "partial 16S ribosomal RNA". It matches the Rfam family "Bacterial small subunit ribosomal RNA", at positions 28 to 507 of the family's 1533-position model. The record is from RNAcentral.